This 264-nucleotide ribosomal RNA is filed under the name Triticum aestivum (bread wheat). Its description in RNAcentral is "partial small subunit ribosomal RNA". Lineage: Eukaryota; Viridiplantae; Streptophyta; Magnoliopsida; Poales; Poaceae. The record is from RNAcentral.
AUGGCGAUCAAGUACCCAUGCUUUCGAGAUACCUUCCAGCGCUAUUCACACCGGGCUCGACGACAUCCCACCAUGAAGACCAAGCGCCACCUCUUCAUAGGGGCAAUGGACUUCGGAACCCCAUACUCCACUGUGAACGCCGUGAAGAAGCUCAUGAAAAACGCGUCUAAGAGGAUUGGGCACCACAACUUCGCCAAGAAGAAUAUCGACGUCGUCAACAUGAAGUGUCGCCUACAAGAAGAGCGCAUAGUGCAUUGCCAAUAA